GCUAUACAUGCAAGUCGAGCGAAUCUGAGGGAGCUUGCUCCCAAAGAUUAGCGGCGGACGGGUGAGUAACACGUGGGCAACCUGCCUGUAAGACUGGGAUAACUUCGGGAAACCGGAGCUAAUACCGGAUAAUCCUUUUCUACUCAUGUAGAAAAGCUGAAAGAUGGCUUCGGCUAUCACUUACAGAUGGGCCCGCGGCGCAUUAGCUAGUUGGUGAGGUAACGGCUCACCAAGGCGACGAUGCGUAGCCGACCUGAGAGGGUGAUCGGCCACACUGGGACUGAGACACGGCCCAGACUCCUACGGGAGGCAGCAGUAGGGAAUCUUCCGCAAUGGACGAAAGUCUGACGGAGCAACGCCGCGUGAGUGAUGAAGGUUUUCGGAUCGUAAAACUCUGUUGUUAGGGAAGAACAAGUACCGUUCGAAUAGGGCGGUACCUUGACGGUACCUAACCAGAAAGCCACGGCUAACUACGUGCCAGCAGCCGCGGUAAUACGUAGGUGGCAAGCGUUGUCCGGAAUUAUUGGGCGUAAAGCGCGCGCAGGUGGUUUCUUAAGUCUGAUGUGAAAGCCCCCGGCUCAACCGGGGAGGGUCAUUGGAAACUGGGAGACUUGAGUGCAGAAGAGGAAAGUGGAAUUCCAAGUGUAGCGGUGAAAUGCGUAGAGAUUUGGAGGAACACCAGUGGCGAAGGCGACUUUCUGGUCUGUAACUGACACUGAGGCGCGAAAGCGUGGGGAGCGAACAGGAUUAGAUACCCUGGUAGUCCACGCCGUAAACGAUGAGUGCUAAGUGUUAGAGGGUUUCCGCCCUUUAGUGCUGCAGCAAACGCAUUAAGCACUCCGCCUGGGGAGUACGGCCGCAAGGCUGAAACUCAAAGGAAUUGACGGGGGCCCGCACAAGCGGUGGAGCAUGUGGUUUAAUUCGAAGCAACGCGAAGAACCUUACCAGGUCUUGACAUCCUCUGACAAUCCUAGAGAUAGGACGUUCCCCUUCGGGGGACAGAGUGACAGGUGGUGCAUGGUUGUCGUCAGCUCGUGUCGUGAGAUGUUGGGUUAAGUCCCGCAACGAGCGCAACCCUUGAUCUUAGUUGCCAGCAUUCAGUUGGGCACUCUAAGGUGACUGCCGGUGACAAACCGGAGGAAGGUGGGGAUGACGUCAAAUCAUCAUGCCCCUUAUGACCUGGGCUACACACGUGCUACAAUGGAUGGUACAAAGGGCUGCAAGACCGCGAGGUUUAGCCAAUCCCAUAAAACCAUUCUCAGUUCGGAUUGCAGGCUGCAACUCGCCUGCAUGAAGCCGGAAUCGCUAGUAAUCGCGGAUCAGCAUGCCGCGGUGAAUACGUUCCCGGGCCUUGUACACACCGCCCGUCACACCACGAGAGUUUGUAACACCCGAAGUCGGUGGGGUAACCGCAAGGAGCCAGCCGCCUAAGUG
Molecule: ribosomal RNA, 1434 nt
Filed under: Cytobacillus sp.
Lineage: Bacteria; Bacillati; Bacillota; Bacilli; Caryophanales; Bacillaceae
Description: bacterial SSU rRNA
Rfam family: Bacterial small subunit ribosomal RNA
Source: RNAcentral